UUCCCUAUUCUCUGUACCCUAAUUUUCCCUAUUAUCUCCAUCCUCCCUCAUUUCUUGCAAACACAUUGCCAUCAUCAGACCUCAUUAACACCACACUUGAAUCUCACCACCACUGUCAUCGUCGCAUACCUCGUCCCGCCGAAACUGAAACGCAAUGUGAAUGCCGCACUUGGAGCUCACAGUGGCACCACGCCUAAACCUCAUCAUGCGCCAGCGCACCUAUACCUAAUGGUCGUGGGCCACCGGACUCUCAUCUCGGUAGUUUGGCUCCAAUUUUGGGAAAAGUAUUGGGCCACAAAACCCACAUCUUCAAGUCUUGAGUGUUCCAUAGAAAAUCAAGAGUAUCAGAAACAAUUUUUCAAUUUGCUUACUUCGAUUAAGGAGAUGAAUCGACCAUGAGUGCCUUGGCUGGGACUGAGAUUGAAGUUAUGGUGGUUAUCCCUAAUAUCCAACUUGUUGAUAGGAAUGGCUAUGGCAAGUGGGUUAAGAAAAAAAAAUCUCGCGUUACAACUUCAAUGGGAGUGCUAAUGUCAAGGUUGUAUGUGGAAUAGUAUAAUCCAUGAGCCAUGUGCAGGGUUAUGGCAAUCAAAUUGGAAGUUUCCGGUGACAUGCUGCAGUCUCGACCAGAUGUUGGGAAUCGUGUGCUACUUUCAGAUGGUGUGAUCAGAAUUAAAAUAUUUUAGGAUUAGGAUAAAAAAUUUAGUUGUAAAAUUACUAGAUGAAUUUGUAAUGUUUUUUUUUUAUAUAUAUUUGAACAAGGUACU
Molecule: long non-coding RNA, 764 nt
Organism: Vigna unguiculata (cowpea)
Lineage: Eukaryota; Viridiplantae; Streptophyta; Magnoliopsida; Fabales; Fabaceae
Source: RefSeq, a predicted model, not a curated record